GUGUGGUUUAGAGAAUGUUCUAGUUUCUUUUUUUUUUUUUGCAAGUAGCAGUCCAGUUUUUACAGCACUACUCAUCGAAGAUGUCUUUUCUCCAGUGUGUAUUCUUGCCUACCCUGUUGUGGAUUAGUUGACCAUAGAGUAAUGGGUUUACUUCUGGCUUUCUGUCCUGUUCCAUGUAACUGUAUCUGUUUUUGUGCCAGUUCCCCACUGUUGUGAUUUCUGUUGUUGUUGUUGCUUAGUCACUACGUCCUGUCUGACUCUUCUGCAACCCCAUGCAGUGCAGCCCACCAGGUUCCUCUGUCCAUGGGACUUCCCAGGCAAGAAUACUGGAGUGGGGUGCCAUUUCCUACUCCAGGGCAUCUUCUUGACCCAGGGGUCAAACCCAUGUGUACCAUGUCUCCUGCGUUGGCAGGCAGAUUCUUUACCACUGCACCACCUGUGGGGCUUCUGUGUGCACGAUUUUCAGAUUUUCUUUCAUCACAGAUUGUCACGAGUUAUUGAACAGUGUCCUGUGUUGUACACUAGGUCCGCGUUUAUUUUAUACGCAUCAGUGUGUCUGCUAAUCCCAAACUCCUGAUUCCUCUCUCCUCAUCCUUAACCCUUUAGAACCAUGUUUGUUUUCUGUGCGUGUUUCUGUUUUGUAAAUAAGUUCACUUUUUUUUAGAUUCCACAUAUAAGCAAUUCAUAUGCUUGUCUUUUUCUAUCAACUUGUGUGUUGGCGGAAGCCCCCCUUUGCGCCCCCUCUGCAAGCUGCCUCUCUCCCGGCAGCCCUUUGUCAAAACUCGUUCAGUGUCUGACCUCUGUGACGUGUGCCUCCAACUCUGGUCAUUUGGUGCAUACACACACAAACACACACACACAAAUACACACACACACAAAAUACACACAAACACACACACACAAAAUACACACACAUACAGUUUCCGCAGCUCUUAUGAGCCUAUUAGCAAAGCCCAGGCUCCUUAGAGAGGUGGCUGAUGACCCAUCCAGAGCACAUUAUCA
This is a long non-coding RNA of Bos taurus (domestic cattle), 1002 nucleotides long. The record is from Ensembl. NCBI's taxonomy places the organism in Eukaryota, Metazoa, Chordata, Mammalia, Artiodactyla, Bovidae.